AGCCCGUCUCCAUCGUCGUCGUUAUCAUUAAUGGCGCUUGCGGCGAAAUUGUUAAAUCGCUCAAGUUAUUUCUGUAAUGCGGGGAUAUCUUUACAGAAAUGUACUGGUACUCUGCAAAAAAUGCUUCACAAGUACUUGGGAAUGAUGGAUAUACAGCUCCUAUAAAAAUAAUGGGGUUUCCAAUGAACAGCGGAAGUGGAGCUUCACCAGGACCAGUAUCGAGACAGUACAUCAAACUAUGUGACUACCACGUAUAUUACACAUGAGAGAGUCUCUUCUAUUACAUCCGUGUUGUUCAACCAUAAUUGAAAUGAACUACUGUAUCGCUGCAACAAAACCUUUAUUUGGCGUGUACGUGAACUUUGGAUGCAUGUAAUUAUUGUCUUUUCUACACUUUAGCUAGAUUUUACAUGAACAGAGCAGUCAAGUGCAAGUAAGCUGGUGUAACAAAAUAAACUUUGUCUAGAAAGAAAGAAAAUACGCACGAAUGGCGAAACCGACAAUGAAGGAGAUUUAAUUUCCACUAAUGGGGAGGCCAGGUUAGGAAAAUGAGGUCACAGGGCUGCAUAGGUGGAUGCUUCUGGGAGGAUCCUUGAACCAGUUGAACUUGUUUUGGACCAGUUUGCAAUGAUUGCAGGAAUGUGGAUUGAAAAUCCAGUGAACGGGUAAGGAACUGUCAAGGGAAGUGCCUCAGGAUGAGAGCCACCGAUAUUUUGAACAGAGACCGUUCUUCUAGGUGUAUAUUGAACAGGUUCAUAUUGCAUGUAUUGUCCAUAUAAUACGCAUGGCUAAAAAUACAUAGAGUCUGAAGUUCUCGGGAAAUAUUUUUUUCUAAAUUUGGGGGGUAAAAAAUCGGGUAAAUAAACACGCGCUUUAAAUUCAUGCAAGUUCGGGUGAACAAACUUGCAAUACGUUAAAUUCGGGGAGAAAUCUGGCUCAGUUACCCAAACUAACUGUAGUGGUUUGGUACGAGCUGUGACGUAACUGCAUUUGUUGCCAAACAAGUAAGUUAGUGCAUUGCUACAGACAUCCCAGUGAGGGCAGUUCGUCGGGUAAAAAUCGGGUUUUCACCCGAAAGAGGCAACCUUCACUUCGGGGUGCAAAUCCGGGGAAAAAUCGGGUAGAACCCUAAGACUUCGGGCUCUAAAAAUACGCAAAUAAAUUAUUCUAUGACAUUUGAUAAUGUUUUGUGCAGGAAAUUCGGGAAAGAAAGUCCCAGAUAAGUCCCACUGUCGCCACACGAGGGCUUCGGAGCUGGAGCACUCGUGCAACGUGUGCAGCCGAGUCUUCUCGCGGCGCGACCACCUGACGGACCACAUCCGGUCCCACACGGGCGAACGCCCCUUCUGCUGUCACCUCUGCCCCAAGACUUUCGUCUGGAAGAGCAAUCUCACAAAACACAUACGACGUCACACGGGAGAGAAGCCGUUCAGCUGCAAUGUCUGCUUGAAGGCAUUUACCAGGACGGACAGUUUAGCCGAGCACAUGAAACUGCACCAGUACAACAGACGACGACGGUGAGAUGGUAUGCCUUAAAAGGGUUGGAAAUAUUGAUUUGUCUGUACUAAACAUGCACAUAAAAACACUAUGUUUCUGUGA
Molecule: long non-coding RNA, 1599 nt
Organism: Ornithodoros turicata
Lineage: Eukaryota; Metazoa; Arthropoda; Arachnida; Ixodida; Argasidae
Exons: 2
Source: RefSeq, a predicted model, not a curated record